Molecule: long non-coding RNA, 817 nt
Filed under: Eucalyptus grandis
Lineage: Eukaryota; Viridiplantae; Streptophyta; Magnoliopsida; Myrtales; Myrtaceae
Description: long non-coding RNA (EGRA_LNC005800)
Source: RNAcentral
UUUUGAUCUUUUCCAAAAAGGUGUGAUGAUCAGAGAGAGUGCGAUGCACUCAGACAAUACAUUAAAGGUUAAAGAGGAAGUAAAAGCUAAGGGAAAGAGCAUAAAAUUUCAUGAUGAGCUCAUCAUCAUUCCAUCUCCGUUCAAAGGAGGCGAGCCAGCUGAGGCAUCGAUUAGCAGCCAAAAGAGAGUCUUAAGCUUUCCAUUAGUCGCUAAACAUGACAAGACCCUUCCCAGAAAAAAGAAAAAAAGAAGAAGAAACCUACCUCCCUCUCCCCUCUGCCAUCAUCUUCCACGCUACUGCUAACCCAAAAAAGUAAAAAGCAAGCAAAACAAGCUCAAACGCUCCAUCGUCGUGGCCGUCUUCAUUAGCAGAAGAAACCGGAGUUGCCAUUGUCGAAGUUGAGGGCGUAGCUGAAAGGGUCGUACUGGAAGCUGAACCUCUGGUUCUUCUUCUUCUUCUUAUUCCUAGACCAGACGAUGAAGAUGAUCUCGUUCUUCAGCAACUGCCUCUUCAUCUCUGCCCUCACCCUCCAGAACAAGCUCCUCAGCUUCCUCCUCUUCCCGCCCAACAGCGCCACGAUCGCUUCCAAGCAAAGCUCCGCCAUGUCCACCGCCCCCAUCCCUCUAGUUUCCUCCGUUUCUUGCCGCGGUUUUCCCCACGGAACGAGGGACCUAGAACAGGACUACAAAAAGGAAUGUGUCUUGAGAGAGAGGGAGGGGGGGGGGAAACGGUAUGGUGGGAUUGGCUUGAAGUGCAAGAAUGGAGAGGGGUCUUUAUGGGGAGUGGAGCUUCUGUACUACCGCUCUCUCUCUCUCU